This 29-nucleotide small RNA is filed under the name Bombyx mori (domestic silkworm). RNAcentral describes it as "ovarian small RNA-17517". Lineage: Eukaryota; Metazoa; Arthropoda; Insecta; Lepidoptera; Bombycidae. The record is from RNAcentral.
GGGCUGUUUCCGAGUCGUGUAAUAAUGGU